UGGCCCAUGGAAGUCGGAAUCCGCUAAGGAGUGUGUAACAACUCACGGGCCGAAUGAACUAGCCCUGAAAAUGGAUGGCGCUCAAGCGUGCUACCCAUACCUCGCCGUCGGGGUAGAAACGAUGCCCCGACGAGUAGGCAGGCGUGGAGGUCCGUGACGAAGCCUUGGGAGUGAUCCCGGGUCGAACGGCCUCUAGUGCAGAUCUUGGUGGUAGUAGCAAAUACUCAAAUGAGAACUUUGAGGACUGAAGUGGGGAAAGGUUCCAUGUGAACAGCAGUUGGACAUGGGUUAGUCGAUCCUAAGGUAUAGGGAAGUUCCGUUUGAAAGGCGCCCUCGUGCGCCGUGUACCGAAAGGGAAGCCGGUUAAUAUUCCGGCACCUGGAUGUGGAUUCUCCACGGCAACGUAACUGAACGCGGAGACAUCGGCGGGGGUCCUGGGAAGAGUUCUCUUUUCUUCUUGACAGCCUAUCACCCUGAAAUCGGUUUGUCCGGAGCUAGGGUUCCACGGCUGGCAGAGCCCUGCACCUUUGCAGGGUCCGGUGCGCCCCCGACGAUCCUUGAAAAUCCGCGGGAAGGAAUAGUUUUCACGCCAGGUCGUACUCAUAACCGCAGCAGGUCUCCAAGGUGAACAGCCUCUAGUUGAUAGAACAAUGUAGAUAAGGGAAGUCGGCAAAAUGGAUCCGUAACUUCGGGAUAAGGAUUGGCUCUAAGGGUCGGGCUCGCUGGGCCUUGGGGGAAACCUCUCGGAGCAGGGGGGCACUAGC
This 764-nucleotide non-coding RNA is filed under the name Aspergillus carbonarius ITEM 5010. RNAcentral's name for it is "Eukaryotic large subunit ribosomal RNA". It matches the Rfam family "Eukaryotic large subunit ribosomal RNA", at positions 1249 to 2011 of the family's 3401-position model. Lineage: Eukaryota; Fungi; Ascomycota; Eurotiomycetes; Eurotiales; Aspergillaceae. The record is from Rfam by way of RNAcentral.